This 73-nucleotide transfer RNA is filed under the name Staurodesmus triangularis. RNAcentral's name for it is "tRNA-Gly". It matches the Rfam family "tRNA". Rfam says of the family: Transfer RNA (tRNA) molecules are approximately 80 nucleotides in length. Their secondary structure includes four short double-helical elements and three loops (D, anti-codon, and T loops). Lineage: Eukaryota; Viridiplantae; Streptophyta; Zygnematophyceae; Desmidiales; Desmidiaceae. The record is from RNAcentral.
AGCGGGCAUAGUUUAUCGGUAGAACGCUUCCUUGCCAAGGAAGGGGGAUGGGUUCGAUUCCCAUUGCCCGCUU